AUACGGAGGGUGCAAGCGUUACUCGGAAUCACUGGGCGUAAAGGACGCGUAGGCGGAUUGGAAAGUCAGAUGUGAAAUCCUACAGCUUAACUGUAGCACUGCAUUUGAAACUUCUAAUCUAGAGUAUGGGAGGGGGAGAUGGAAUUAGUGGUGUAGGGGUAAAAUCCGUAGAUAUCGCUAGGAAUACCGAAAGCGAAGGCGAUCUCCUGGAACAUAACUGACGCUAAGGCGUGAAAGCGUGGGGAGCAAACGGGAUUAGAAACCCUAGUAGUCC
Molecule: ribosomal RNA, 274 nt
Filed under: uncultured bacterium
Lineage: Bacteria
Description: partial 16S ribosomal RNA
Rfam family: Bacterial small subunit ribosomal RNA
Source: RNAcentral